UCUCUCUAUCUCUAUCUCUCGGCUCUUUCUCUCCCUACUCUCUCUGCUCUCUCUCUUUACUCUCUCUGCUCUCUCUCUUCGUUCUGCCGCCGCCGCUGCCGUUCAACGGCGCCGUCGCCGCCGGCGAGCGGCGCGGCCUCUCCUCCUCUCUCCCUGAACUCUUCCCCCCCCUCUUCUCCUCUAUCUCUCUCGCUCAAUCUCGGCCGCUGGAAAGGCACAGCAGCGCAACCACGCCGCCGCUCCGUCGCCUCCGCCUCUCUUCCAUGGCAGAUCCGCCGCCGCUGCAACUGGAUCUCGGCGAGCACCGUCGACUGGAAGCCGCUGGAGCUGCUGCUGCUUCGCCGGGAGUCGAGCUGUCGCCGCCUGGAGCUGCUGCUGCUCGCCCGGAGUCGCCGCUGGCUGGCCUGCGAUUGACGGCCAGCAGCUCGCUGGAGGAGCGCCGCCGUCAGCCGCUGCCGUUGGCAGCAAGAAUCCGGCAGCCGCCUCUCCUGGAGUCGCCGUCGCCGUGAGUCGCUGUGAGGAGCCGAGCACCGUCUCACAAAGAUCGGAGACAACCGCGGCUCCGUCGCCGUCCGUCAACCGCCGGCGACGACGAGCCACCGAGGCUGCCCUCCCCCUGACCUCGACUCACACACGCAAUCAGCCAACACAAAGGGUUUUUGUGCGAGAAUCAUAUACUGUAAUUGCUCAAAUAAAAGUUUUAACUCUUUCCUUGUAACUUCAGUUCACAAGUACAUAUUUAGUAACUGUAAAUCUAUGAAUUUGCUACUCAUUUUCUUCAUUUAUCAAAGCAUAUGUAAAUCUGAGUUAAUGAGCAUGUGUUGGUAUUCUGGAAUUGAUGUAUACAAUUGAAGGAUAAUAUAUAAAUUAGAAAUAUAAA
This is a long non-coding RNA of Salvia miltiorrhiza (redroot sage), 880 nucleotides long. RefSeq lists it as uncharacterized. The transcript has 2 exons. The record is from RefSeq and is a predicted model, not a curated record. NCBI's taxonomy places the organism in Eukaryota, Viridiplantae, Streptophyta, Magnoliopsida, Lamiales, Lamiaceae.